GCUGCACAACACCUCAUCCACUCAGUGGUAGGUUUUGGUGCUGCACAUGACCUCAUCCACUCAGUGGCAGGUAUUAGUGCUGCACAUCACCUCAUCCACUCACUGGUAGGUAUUAGUGCUGCACAUCACCUCAUCCACUCAGUGGUAGGUUUUGGUGCUGCACAUGACCUCAUCCACUCAGUGGUAGGUAUUGGUGCUGCACAUCACCUCAUCCACUCAGUGGUAGGUAUUGGUGCUGCACAACACCUCAUCCACUCAGUGGUAGGUUUUGGUGCUGCACAACACCUCAUCCACUCAGUGGUAGGUUUUGGUGCUGCACAUGACCUCAUCCACUCAGUGGUAGGUUUUGGUGCUGCACAACACCUCAUCCACUCAGUGGUAGGUUUUGGUGCUGCACAUGACCUCAUCCACUCAGUGGCAGGUAUUAGUGCUGCACAUCACCUCAUCCACUCACUGGUAGGUAUUAGUGCUGCACAUCACCUCAUCCACUCAGUGGUAGGUUUUGGUGCUGCACAUGACCUCAUCCACUCAGUGGUAGGUAUUGGUGCUGCACAUCACCUCAUCCACUCAGUGGUAGGUUUUGGUGCUGCACAUGACCUCAUCCACUCAGUGGUAGGUUUUGGUGCUGCACAACACCUCAUCCACUCAGUGGUAGGUAUUGGUGCUGCAUAUCACCUCAUCCACUCAGUGGUAGGUAUUGGUGCUGCACAUGACCUCAUCCACUCACUGGUACAGUAGGUUAAGCAUUGUUUCUUGCCUUUUUAAAUAUCACAACAGUGCUUUCUUUGAAUAAAGGUUUGGAUGGUCCAAUUUUCAAAGGUCUCUAUCGUUGUUAUUGCAAUGUAGGGCAAACUAAGACACUAACAAAAUUAACAUUUGGCUUCAUUGACAUGUACCCCAUAUAGACAUUGUACUGAAACACAGCUGAUUGAUUGAAACAAUAGGUGGUCGUCUAUACCAGCGGUUCCCAAACUGUGGGGCGGGGCGCCCCGGCGCCCCCGCAGUGGCAGCAUGUGGUCCUCCCCUCUCCAUUUAAAAAUAUAUAUAUAUACGUAUAUAUAGAGAUUUUUUAAAGGAACUCAGUCCAGCUUUAAACUUACUCCUCCUGAAAGUGAUAAUGGUAGAAUGUACAAGGUGACAUUUCUAAAUGGGCUAUGACAUCAUCAGCUCCUCUUGUCAUGUUAGUCAUUGUUCACAUUAGAGAGAUGUUUAUAACUAGUCAGGAAUGUCCAGAUCAAUCAGCCCGUGGCUGUCUUUUUUACUUACUUUUUUUUUUUAGCUCAUAAAUAUUGUUGUAGUUUUUGAGUCACUCAAAUAUCACAUGAAUACACAUUAGACGUGAUCAAAUUUGUAAAUAAUUGCAAGAAAAUUAGCAUUAAAACGACAACAUUUUCCUGUGACAAAAUGUGUAGAAUUGCAGGAAAUACGCUUUAAAUCUGCUAAAUUCUCUCUACCAACAAGCGGGGUGUUAACAGUUUGUGUCAUGAACAGUGCUUGUGCCCAUAGGGGGGACGUUUGGGAACCCCUGAUCUAUAACCAACAACAGAACACAAGGACAAUUUAUUAUUAUUGCAAAUCAAAGACGUGAAAGUCGAUGCCAAACCAUUGUCGACAACCACAAAACCCCCGGAUAGGACAACUGAGGUAUUUCAGAUUAGACUCACACACACACACACACACACACACACACACACACACACACACACACACACACACCCUGCCAUCUUGCUAUAGACAGAUCUAUAAAUUCAAGCCCCGGCUCUGCAUAUACAUACAAUCUGACCAUUAUGUAGAGAUGAAGACACUGUACCAGUUAGGUGAGUUAGUUGAUAUGCCAUCACUUACUGUUCCCACUGUUUAUACCAUAGGACUCUGGAUGGAUGGGUUCUAACCGUUACUGUUCCCACUGUUUAUUCCAUAGGACUCUGGAUGGAUGGGUUCUAACCGUUACUGUUUAUUCCAUAGGACUCUGGAUGGAUGGGUUCUAACCG
Oncorhynchus tshawytscha (Chinook salmon) is the source of this 1991-nucleotide long non-coding RNA. NCBI's taxonomy places the organism in Eukaryota, Metazoa, Chordata, Actinopteri, Salmoniformes, Salmonidae. The record is from Ensembl.